This 431-nucleotide ribosomal RNA is filed under the name Rothia dentocariosa. RNAcentral describes it as "bacterial SSU rRNA". It matches the Rfam family "Bacterial small subunit ribosomal RNA", at positions 28 to 455 of the family's 1533-position model. The record is from RNAcentral. Lineage: Bacteria; Bacillati; Actinomycetota; Actinomycetes; Micrococcales; Micrococcaceae.
GACGAACGCUGGCGGCGUGCUUAACACAUGCAAGUCGAACGAUGAAGCCUAGCUUGCUAGGUGGAUUAGUGGCGAACGGGUGAGUAAUACGUGAGUGACCUACCUUUGACUCUGGGAUAAGCCUGGGAAACUGGGUCUAAUACCGGAUACGACCAAUCUCCGCAUGGGGUGUUGGUGGAAAGCGUUAUGGAGUGGUUUUAGAUGGGCUCACGGCCUAUCAGCUUGUUGGUGAGGUAAUGGCUUACCAAGGCGACGACGGGUAGCCGGCCUGAGAGGGUGACCGGCCACACUGGGACUGAGACACGGCCCAGACUCCUACGGGAGGCAGCAGUGGGGAAUAUUGCACAAUGGGCGCAAGCCUGAUGCAGCGACGCCGCGUGAGGGAUGACCGCUUCGGGUUGUAAACCUCUGUUAGCAUCGAAGAAGCGAAA